RNAcentral lists this ribosomal RNA (780 nucleotides) under uncultured Neocallimastigales. Its description in RNAcentral is "partial large subunit ribosomal RNA". It matches the Rfam family "Eukaryotic large subunit ribosomal RNA", at positions 22 to 636 of the family's 3401-position model. The record is from RNAcentral. Lineage: Eukaryota; Fungi; Neocallimastigomycota; Neocallimastigomycetes; Neocallimastigales.
UAUACAUGACUCUGCGCAUAUCAAUAAGCGGAGGAAAAGAAACUAACAUAGGAUUCCCUCAGUAACGGCGAGUGAAGCGGGAAGAGCUCAAAUUUGAAAUCUUCAAGGGUUUCCCUUGACGAAUUGUAGUUUAAAGAAGUGUUUUCUGUUAGAGAGGUGGUAAAAGUUCUUUGGAAUAGGACAUCAUAGAGGGUGAGAAUCCCGUAUUUGAUCACUUUCUACUAACGUUGUGAUACACUUUCAAAGAGUCGGAUUGUUUGGGAAUGCAGUCCAAAAUGGGUGGUAAAUUUCAUCUAAAGCUAAAUAUUGGCGAGAGACCGAUAGCGAACAAGUACCGUGAGGGAAAGAUGAAAAGAACUUUGAAAAGAGAGUUAAACAGUACGUGAAAUUGUCAAAAGGGAAGCGUUUGACACCAGUGUUGUUUUUCCGAAAAUCAAUUAUGAAUGGCUUUGAUUUUAGAGUUUCAUGACCUUAAUAGGCCUGUUGCUUAUUUUCUUACGUAACUUUCUUAAUGCACUUUUCGGUUAACAAGUCAACAUCAAUUUCUUUUGUUGUAAAAGGUUAAGAGGAAGGUGGCUUUACUUUCGGGUAAAGUGUUUAUAGCCUUUUAGCUCUGCAGUCGGAGAGAUUGAGGUCUGCAGCGUAGAUCCUUCGGGGUUAGAUACGUUUGUGCUAAGUUAUAGCUUUUCAUAGACAACUUGUUGACUAUGUUUAGUCUUGUGACUUACUCGCUUACGCUAUUUUACCUACGCUUAGGAUGUUGAUAUGCAUGACUGAUAU